Asterias rubens (European starfish) is the source of this 212-nucleotide long non-coding RNA. RefSeq lists it as uncharacterized. The transcript has 3 exons. The record is from RefSeq and is a predicted model, not a curated record. NCBI's taxonomy places the organism in Eukaryota, Metazoa, Echinodermata, Asteroidea, Forcipulatida, Asteriidae.
UUCUGGAGAUUCGUCUGGUAAGGUCUUUUUUUGACAAAACUGUAUUAUAUUGAGAUGACUUGCUACGCCCUGCGUACUCAAGAUGGACAAAUCAAAACCAAGACAAAGUAGACUUACAAGGAAAAAAAGCUGUACACCUAAGACAACAGACAACAUGUGGAAAAGAGGAGCCAGAAAGCUUCAUCCUACAUAAACUCAGCAUUGACCCAGAU